CCUACGGGAGACAGCAGUAGGGAAUCUUUCACAAUGGGCGAAAGCCUGAUGGAGCAACGCCGCGUGCAGGAUGAAGGCCUUCGGGUUGUAAACUGCUUUUAUAAGCGAGAAAUAUGAUGGUAACUUAUGAAUAAGGAUCGGCUAACUACGUGCCAGCAGCCGCGGUCAUACGUAGGAUCCGAGCAUUAUCCGGAGUGACUGGGUGUAAAGAGUUGCGUAGGUGGCAUAAUAAGUAGCUAGUGAAAUCUGGUGGCUCAACCAUUCAGACUAUUUGCUAAACUGUUAAGCUCGAGACCGUUAGGGGUAACUGGAAUUUCUAGUGUAGGAGUGAAAUCCGUAGAUAUUAGAAGGAACACCAAUAGCGUAGGCAGGUUGCUGGGACGGUUCUGACACUAAGGCACGAAAGCGUAGGGAGCAAACGGGAUUAGAUACCCCGGUAGUC
This 442-nucleotide ribosomal RNA is filed under the name uncultured bacterium. Its description in RNAcentral is "partial 16S ribosomal RNA". It matches the Rfam family "Bacterial small subunit ribosomal RNA", at positions 338 to 795 of the family's 1533-position model. The record is from RNAcentral.